UACAGAGGUGGCAAGCGUUGUUCGGAAUUACUGGGCGUAAAGGGCGCGUAGGCGGCCUUCUAAGUCAGACGUGAAAGCCCCAGGCUUAACCUGGGAACUGCGUCCGAUACUGGGAGGCUUGGAUUCGGGAGAGGGAUGUGGAAUUCCAGGUGUAGCGGUGAAAUGCGUAGAUAUCUGGAGGAACACCGGUGGCGAAGGCGGCAUCCUGGACCGAGAUCGACGCUGAGGCGCGAAAGCUAGGGGAGCAAACGGG
RNAcentral lists this ribosomal RNA (253 nucleotides) under uncultured bacterium. RNAcentral describes it as "partial 16S ribosomal RNA". It matches the Rfam family "Bacterial small subunit ribosomal RNA", at positions 524 to 776 of the family's 1533-position model. The record is from RNAcentral.